RNAcentral lists this ribosomal RNA (468 nucleotides) under uncultured bacterium. RNAcentral describes it as "partial 16S ribosomal RNA". It matches the Rfam family "Bacterial small subunit ribosomal RNA", at positions 28 to 507 of the family's 1533-position model. The record is from RNAcentral.
GACGAACGCUGGCGGCGUGCUUAACACAUGCAAGUCGAACGGAAAGGCCCUGCUUUUGUGGGGUGCUCGAGUGGCGAACGGGUGAGUAACACGUGAGUAACCUGCCCUUGACUUUGGGAUAACUUCAGGAAACUGGGGCUAAUACCGGAUAGGAGCUCCUGCUGCAUGGUGGGGGUUGGAAAGUUUCGGCGGUUGGGGAUGGACUCGCAGCUUAUCAGCUUGUUGGUGGGGUAGUGGCUUACCAAGGCUUUGACGGGUAGCCGGCCUGAGAGGGUGACCGGCGACAAUAGGACUGAGAUACGGCCCAGACGCCUACGGGAGGCAGCAGUGGGGAAUAUUGCACAAUGGGCGGAAGCCUGAUGCAGCAACGCCGCGUGCGGGAUGACGGCCUUCGGGUGGUAAACCGCUUUCGCCUGUGACGAAGCGUGAGUGACGGUAAUGGGUAAAGAAGCACCGGCUAACUACGUG